This 623-nucleotide ribosomal RNA is filed under the name Enterobacter cloacae. Its description in RNAcentral is "bacterial SSU rRNA". It matches the Rfam family "Bacterial small subunit ribosomal RNA", at positions 803 to 1426 of the family's 1533-position model. Lineage: Bacteria; Pseudomonadati; Pseudomonadota; Gammaproteobacteria; Enterobacterales; Enterobacteriaceae. The record is from RNAcentral.
UAAACGAUGUCGAUUUGGAGGUUGUGCCCUUGAGGCGUGGCUUCCGGAGCUAACGCGUUAAAUCGACCGCCUGGGGAGUACGGCCGCAAGGUUAAAACUCAAAUGAAUUGACGGGGGCCCGCACAAGCGGUGGAGCAUGUGGUUUAAUUCGAUGCAACGCGAAGAACCUUACCUGGUCUUGACAUCCACAGAACUUUCCAGAGAUGGAUUGGUGCCUUCGGGAACUGUGAGACAGGUGCUGCAUGGCUGUCGUCAGCUCGUGUUGUGAAAUGUUGGGUUAAGUCCCGCAACGAGCGCAACCCUUAUCCUUUGUUGCCAGCGGUUAGGCCGGGAACUCAAAGGAGACUGCCAGUGAUAAACUGGAGGAAGGUGGGGAUGACGUCAAGUCAUCAUGGCCCUUACGACCAGGGCUACACACGUGCUACAAUGGCGCAUACAAAGAGAAGCGACCUCGCGAGAGCAAGCGGACCUCAUAAAGUGCGUCGUAGUCCGGAUUGGAGUCUGCAACUCGACUCCAUGAAGUCGGAAUCGCUAGUAAUCGUAGAUCAGAAUGCUACGGUGAAUACGUUCCCGGGCCUUGUACACACCGCCCGUCACACCAUGGGAUUGGGUUGCAAAAGAAG